Molecule: ribosomal RNA, 251 nt
Filed under: uncultured bacterium
Lineage: Bacteria
Description: partial 16S ribosomal RNA
Rfam family: Bacterial small subunit ribosomal RNA
Source: RNAcentral
UACGGAGGGUGCAAGUACUAAUCGGAAUUAUUGGGCGUAAAGGGCGCGUAGGCGGAUUGGAAAGUCUUUUGUGAAAUUCCGGGGCUCAACCCCGGAGCUGCAGGAGAAACUACCCACGUCUAGAGGAUAGUCGGAGGAAAUAGGAUUACCUACGUGUAGCGGUGAAAUAGCGUAGAGAUGUGGAAGAACACCGGUGGCGAAAGCGAUUUCCUAGAUUAUAACUGACGCUGAGGCGCGAGAGCGUGGGGAGC